GAGAGGGAGCCUGAGAAACGGCUACCACAUCCAAGGAAGGCAGCAGGCGCGCAAAUUACCCACUCCCGGCACGGGGAGGUAGUGACGAAAAAUAACGAUACGGGACUCAUCCGAGGCCCCGUAAUCGGAAUGAGUACACUCUAAACCCUUUAACGAGGAUCAAUUGGAGGGCAAGUCUGGUGCCAGCAGCCGCGGUAAUUCCAGCUCCAAUAGCGUAUAUUAAAGUUGUUGCGGUUAAAAAGCUCGUAGUCGAAUUUGUGUCCCGCGCCGCCGGUUCAUCGUUCGCGGUGUUAACUGGCGUUUCGCGGGACGUCCUGCCGGUGGGCUUAGCUCGAGAGGGCGGCCCAACUCAAUCCCGCCGCGGUGCUCUUCAUUGAGUGUCGAGGUGGGCCGGCACGUUUACUUUGAACAAAUUAGAGUGCUUAAAGCAGGCUAAAACUUCGCCUGAAUACUGUGUGCAUGGAAUAAUGGAAUAGGACCUCGGUUCUAUUUUGUUGGUUUUCGGAACCCCGAGGUAAUGAUUAAUAGGAACGGAUGGGGGCAUUCGUAUUGCGACGUUAGAGGUGAAAUUCUUGGAUCGUCGCAAGACGGACAGAAGCGAAAGCAUUUGCCAAAAACGCUUUCAUUGAUCAAGAACGAAAGUUAGAGGUUCGAAGGCGAUCAGAUACCGCCCUAGUUCUAACCAUAAACGAUGCCAGCUAGCGAUCCGCCGACGUUCCUCCGAUGACUCGGCGGGCAGCUUCCGGGAAACCAAAGCUUUUGGGUUCCGGGGGAAGUAUGGUUGCAAAGCUGAAACUUAAAGGAAUUGACGGAAGGGCACCACCAGGAGUGGAGCCUGCGGCUUAAUUUGACUCAACACGGGAAACCUCACCAGGCCCGGACACCGGAAGGAUUGACAGAUUGAGAGCUCUUUCUUGAUUCGGUGGGUGGUGGUGCAUGGCCGCUCUUAGUUGGUGGAGCGAUUUGUCUGGUUAAUUCCGAUAACGAACGAGACUCUAGCCUGCUAAAUAGGCGUAUUUCGACAUCCCAAAUACCCGCUGGAGCCGGGUUCGCCCGGUCUCUAUGUGCGGUUUUUACUGUCGGCGUACAAACAAUUCUUCUUAGAGGGACAGGCGGCUUCUAGCCGCACGAGAUUGAGCAAUAACAGGUCUGUGAUGCC
RNAcentral lists this ribosomal RNA (1159 nucleotides) under Tribolium castaneum (red flour beetle). Its description in RNAcentral is "SSU rRNA". It matches the Rfam family "Eukaryotic small subunit ribosomal RNA", at positions 386 to 1471 of the family's 1831-position model. The record is from RNAcentral. Lineage: Eukaryota; Metazoa; Arthropoda; Insecta; Coleoptera; Tenebrionidae.